GGAAGGAUCAUUAGCUUGUGCUGCGUUGCAGCUGCGCCUGGCGCCUCUACACGAGGUCGCUUUGGUGUCCACCCUUGCUUAUCGAUACCCUCUGUUUCCUGGGCGGGUUAUGGCUUUGGGCCAUGCCUGCCAGAAGGAGAACAUAACGCCUUUUGCCGUUGUAUAUUUUGGCUGAGUCAAUUAAAAAUCAUUACAACUUUCAACAAUGGAUCUCUUGGUUCUGGCAUCGAUGAAGAACGCAGCGAAAUGCGAUACGUAGUGUGAAUUGCAGAAUUCAGUGAAUCAUCGAAUCUUUGAACGCACAUUGCGCCCUAUGGUACCCCAUAGGGCAUGCCUGUUCGAGCGUCUAUAGGGGAAUCAUGCCACAUGGUGUUGGGCGUGGGUGCCGUGCCUUUGCUGCCGGAUGCUCGCCUGAAAAGUAUUGUAUUACCGCGGGUCUUGCGCAGCACGAAGCGCCUUGAUUUUGCGGCUGUAACCGUCUGUUUGACCUCGGAUCAGGUAGGGAUACCCGCUGAACUUAAGCAUAUCAAUAAGCGGAGGAAAAGAAACCAACUGGGAUUGCCCUAGUAACGGCGAGUGAAGCGGCAAGAGCUCAAAUUUGAAAUCUGGCUCCCUUGGGGGUCCGAGUUGUACUUUGCAGAGGGUGCUUUGGCGUUGGCUGCGGUCUAAGUUCCUUGGAAUAGGACUGUCACAGAGGGUGAGAAUCCCGUAUGUGGCCGCGUGCUUGCGCCGUGUAAAGCCCCUUCGACGAGUCGAGUUGUUUGGGAAUGCAGCUCUAAAUGGGAGGUAAAUUUCUUCUAAAGCUAAAUACUGGCCAGAGACCGAUAGCGCACAAGUAGAGUGAUCGAAAGAUGAAAAGCACUUUGGAAAGAGAGUGAAAUAGCCCGUGAAAUUGUUGAAAGGGAAGCGCUUGUCGCCAGACUUGCCCGCAGCUGCUCAUCCACUCUGGGAGCACUCGGCUGCGGGCAGGCCAGCAUCAGUUUGGGCGGCUGGAGAAGAAGCUCUGUCACGUAUCUUCCUGCGGGAUGACCUUAUAGGGGAGCUAGUGCAGCCAGCCCGGACUGAGGUCCGCGCAUAAGCUAGGAUGCUGGCGUAAUGGUCGCAAGCGGCCCGUCUUGAAACACGGACCAAGGAGUCUAACAUCUAUGCGAGUGUUUGGGUGUCAAGCCCGGGCGCGCAAUGAAAGUGAAUGGAGGUGGGAACCCUUUGGGCGCACCAUCGACCGAUCCGGAUGUCUUCGGAUGAGGAUUUGAGUAAGAGCAUAGCUGUUGGGACCCGAAAGAUGGUGAACUAUGCUUGAAUAGGGUGAAGCCAGAGGAAACUCUGGUGGAGGCUCGCAGCGGUUCUGACGUGCAAAUCGAUCGUCAAAUUUGGGCAUAGGGGCGAAAGACUAAUCGAACCAUCUAGUAGCUGGUUCCUGC
This 1421-nucleotide unclassified non-coding RNA is filed under the name uncultured Pleosporales. RNAcentral's name for it is "sequence contains 18S rRNA gene, ITS1, 5.8S rRNA gene, ITS2, 28S rRNA gene". The stretch from base 485 to 1421 matches the Rfam family "Eukaryotic large subunit ribosomal RNA", at positions 1 to 961 of the family's 3401-position model. The record is from RNAcentral. Lineage: Eukaryota; Fungi; Ascomycota; Dothideomycetes; Pleosporales.